ACUAUAAUCAGCGAUUACAGUCCGGUAGUUUUUCAAGUGAACUACCCAACUCGUUGUUUUACCCCGGGCUAACAACGAACCCUACAAUCCCCCAAUUUAACCUAGGCUUGGGAUGCCUAACCCUUGUUCCAAGUCCCUUGACUGGAACAAGCACAAUAUUCAAGUGUAUUACAAGAAUUUAAAAGCUUCUAUGAAAGCAAAUAAAACGAUGAAGAACAACAAAACCGGAAGAACCCUCUUUGCCGUUGAAAAGCGUGGAUGAUGGUGGUUCUUCCGAUGUGGAUUACGUUGGCUUGAAUGCGAGCUUUGAUUGCCGAGUGGGAGUGAGUAGAUGAGCACGAAAUCAGAUGAAGAAGACUUGAAUGCUCUUGAUUUCUCCUCUUGAAAGCACCAACUCCCUUGAAACUCUUUCUCUUUCUUCUCUCUUGAAUGAUCUUAUGUUUGGUUGGUGAGAAG
RNAcentral lists this long non-coding RNA (456 nucleotides) under Phoenix dactylifera (date palm). RNAcentral describes it as "long non-coding RNA (PDAC_LNC013058)". The record is from RNAcentral. Lineage: Eukaryota; Viridiplantae; Streptophyta; Magnoliopsida; Arecales; Arecaceae.